RNAcentral lists this long non-coding RNA (670 nucleotides) under Eucalyptus grandis. RNAcentral describes it as "long non-coding RNA (EGRA_LNC006366)". The record is from RNAcentral. Lineage: Eukaryota; Viridiplantae; Streptophyta; Magnoliopsida; Myrtales; Myrtaceae.
CUCAUUGCGGAGGAGGAGGAAGGAGGAGGGGGAGGCGGUGAGGCCGGUUUGCCGCUGAAGACGGCGCAGUGGAACCAGAAGGAGUCGAAGAGCUCGAGGACGUGCUCUGCUGCAGACAUGUGUCGUGUCGGCAGGAGAGAGAGAGAGAGAGAGAGAGAGGACGAGAGCUCCGAAGAAGUUGAGAGAGGGAACUAGGUUAGGGAGAUUAGGGAGGAGAAAGGUUCGAUAUUUAUGCGGGGUGGAUUACGGAGAUGCCCCUGAGUUCGAGUUGAUAUCGCGUGCGGAAUCUUCGGCGGAGACCGAUGGGUUAAACGUUGGUUUUUAUUUAAGGAGGUUCGAAGUAAAGAAACUCAUGGUGGUCGUCGACACGGGAGUCGCGUUUCGUUUGACUGAUUUCACGAGCUAACUACCGCCUGCCUGUCGGCUAUAGAAUACACAACUUGUUGAUUUGAAUAGUGGCACGUGAGGGAUGCAGAGAGAAAUAAAUAUAGUCCUUUCGAGAGGCCGUUGGGUGAAACAUGCACGUUUCUUUAACCCUAACGAGAAAAAUUAGGUUAUCUUGUGAAUUUGUUUAUUCGGGCGCGACGUGUCUUUUGAAAGUCGUACAUUGGUGUUUGUAUUAAAUAGUUGCUGCUCCGAAAGAUCAUCAAUGGAAACGCGAGUGUUCCCC